Molecule: long non-coding RNA, 1989 nt
Organism: Juglans regia (Persian walnut)
Lineage: Eukaryota; Viridiplantae; Streptophyta; Magnoliopsida; Fagales; Juglandaceae
Exons: 3
Source: RefSeq, a predicted model, not a curated record
AGGAGAAAGGGAACCCUUUGAGGGCAGAUCCAUGAAAGUGAAGGAAAAACCAGCUAGAUGAGAGAGAAAGGGAUGAUGGAAAGAAGGAUAAGAGGGGGAGAAGGUCCAGAGGAAAGGACAGACUCCAGUUCAUUGGACAACUCAAGACUUUAGACGGCUAAAAGCUGAGCCUAACUUGAUGACCUUUAUCUUUUUAAAUAUUGUUCUGACCAGAUAAUUAGGAAAUGUGUUCCUAAUGAUGAGAUUUCUGCAAUUCUGUACUUUUGCCAUUCUAAGACUUGUGGAGGACAUUUUUUAACCAAUAAAACAGUAGCCAAAAUAUUACAAAGUGGUUUCUAUUGGCCAACCAGGUCCAAAGAUGCCUAUAGUUUUUGUAAGACUUGUGAACCUUGUCAAAAACUAGAAGGAAUAAUAGGAGAAAUAUGAUGCCAAUGCAACCCAUUUUAGAAAUAGAGAUUUUUUACUGCUGGGGAAUAGAUUUUACGGGGUCAUUUCCUUCAUCUUUUGGUUACCUGUAUAUUUUGCUUGUUGUUGACUAUGUUUCUAAAUGGGUUGAGGCAAUCCCAUGUAGAAAUGGUGAUCAUCAAGUUGUUUUGAGAUUUUUAUAGGAAAAUAUUUUUGCAAGGUUUGGUAUGCAUAAAGCCAUAAUCAAUGAUAAUGGCACCCGUUUUUGUAACAAGCCCUUCUUAGCUUUAAUGAAAAAAUAUGGGAUUCAUCAUAAGGUUUCCACACCUUAUCACCCUCAUACAAAUGGGCAAGCUGAAUUAGCGAAUAGGGAACUAAAACACAUUCUUGAAAAACCUGUCAACCCUAACAAGAAAGAUUUGUCUUUGAGGUUGUCUGAUGCUCUUUGGGUCUAUUGUACUGCUUAUAAAACAAUUUUAGGUGUGUCACCUUAUAGAUUGGUGUAUGGAAAAGUGUGUCAUGUAAUAGUGGAUUUAGAACAUAGAGCAUAUUGGGCUAUUGAAUAGUUUAUAACUUUCACACUGACCAAGCUGGUUAGACAAGGAAAUUGCAGAUUGCUAAGCUAGAAGAACUUAGAAGGGAUGCAUAUGACAAUUCUAAAUUUUCCAAGGAACGUAUGAAACACUUUCAUGAUAAACAUAUUCAAAGGAAGUCCUUCCCACCAAACCAGCAAGUUCUUUUAUAUAGCUCUCGUCUCCACUUGUUCCCUAGAAAGUGGAAAUCUCAAUGGAAUGGCCCCUACUUGGUAGAAUCUAUCUUUCCACAUGGAGCUGUGGAACUCAUAAAUCCUCAUAAUGGAAACACUUUGAAAGUCAAUGGUCAAAAACUCAAACCUUUCCUUUCUACUUUCUCAUCUGAGGCGUCUACUUUGAGCUUUCUUGAUCCCAUUACUUUUUCAGAUGAUUAUGUUUUCAUUAAGUUUUUUUUAUUUUUUUAUUUUUAUUUUUUGCAGCACAAAUAAUUCUUUCCUUUACAAAGUUUCCUUUCUAUUGUUAUAUUUUUCCUCAUCAUUCAACCUCACUCAGGUAUCAUGGCCCAAGGCCACACGGUAGUAUCUAGGCCCACCUUGGCCCAACACUCUCACAAGCCUUAAGCCUUGAACCAUGCAACAUAAGGGACUUAGAGAGUCCAUGUGAAGCUUUAAGGGAGAUGCAGAGUGGAGAAAGGGCCUUUCGAGGAUAGAUCCAUGAGAGUGGAGGAAGAAUCAGUUAGAUGAGAGAGAAAGAUAAAUGGGGGAGAAGGUCCAGAGGAAAGGAGACUCGAUUUUUGGCAAAUUUUAGGGUUUUAUUUUGUUGUUUUGUUGAAUCUUCUAUCAAUAACUUUUAGGGUUCUUGCUGACCUUUGUAAUCAUCAUCAAGAUGAUGAUUCAAGGCUAGAUCUAAAACUUGGGUUGUCGGUGAAGGGUUUUGUUUACCUUGAUAUGUGUCUAGUAUCUUUGAUUUUUCUGUUCAUUUUCUUCUUUACACUAGUAUCCAUGACUUGCUGUAUGGUUUCUUGAAGAUUUCUUGUUCUUGACCUGUUAUA